UCCUUCAGAGUUGACAGAAUGUCUGCAGCGCAACACAUCAUUGCUGUGGUGGUCGUCCUCACCACUCUUUUGGGAGUGGAUGGAUCAAAUGGAUAUUAUCUGUAUAUAGUGGAUCAGUGUCCAUUCAGCUCCUGGGACCUGAAAGAUCUGGAGUACAUCCAGUCUCAUUGGUAUAACAAGGCGGAAUUAUUACGGUUCAACAGUACGGUGGGGAAGUUUGUAGGAUACACUCCAUUUGGAGUGUUUCAAGCAGAGUAUAUUAACAAUCAAACGGCCUACAUGGCACAGAUGAAGGGUGAGAAGGAGAGAUACUGCAGGAGCAAUGUCCAGAGUGACAUCAAUAACAUACUGACAAAGAAAGUUGAGCCCAUUGUGAAGCUGAGGUUGGGGAAGGCCUCCAGUGGUGGCCAUCCUGCCAUGCUGGUCUGCAGUGCGUACAGCUUCUACCCAAAGAUGAUCAAACUGACCUGGAACAGAGAUGACCAGGAGGUGACCGGUGAUGUGGUAUCCAGUGAGGAGCUGGCGGAUGGAGACUGGUACUACCAGAUCCACUCCCACCUGCAGUUCACCCCCAAAUCUGGAGAGAAGAUCUCCUGUGUGGUGGAGCACGCUAGCCUGAAGGACCCCAAGGAGUUGGUCUGGGACUCCGCCAUGCCUGAGCCGGAGAGGAACAAGAUCGCCAUCGGGGCAGCUGGUCUGGUGUUGGGCCUCGUCGUCACUGCGGCUGGAUUCAUCUACUACAAGACCAAAGCCAGAGGUCUGUUAUGAGCAACACCAGCUAAACAGCAAACAUCCAGCACAUACAGGCGGAUCUUGGUACCGAAUAACUAGAGACUAUCACAAUGCACUGAACUGAGAUGUAAUCAAGAGAUCUGUCAAGAAAUCAAAUCAGUACUGGAGACACUUUUUGUUCUUGUAAAGAUUGCUGGCUGUGUUUCACUGUCUUUUUUUCCAAACGUAUCAUAGAUACCUAAAUUACACAUAUCCCUGUUCAAUAUAUAAAAUUGUUUUGAGAGGAAGACAUUAGGGAGCUUUAAUAUUUAUUUCUAGUCAUGUUUAUACAUGUCCAGUAUGGAUAGGCCUACACUGAUGGUAAUUGAGAAAUCAAGAUUUAUAGAAAUGCGUGAUGUCUAGUCAUGUAGAAGUCCUGUAUGGAUACACUGAAGGUAAUCGAGAUCUCAAGAUUUAUAGAAAUGCGUUUCCUCUCUGUACUGGUUCACUGGAGCGUUUGUAGAAUCUGUCCAAUUUCAUUAGUGUGACUUAGCGCCCUCUGCAGGACGAUGUUAGUGACUGCAGUUAUAUUCUCCUGACAUUGUGAACUGUUGUUCAGAAUUGUUUUCUCUUCUGUUAGAUAGGUGUUAUCAAACCACUGUAUAACUAUGCUUUGCUUUAUCCUGAUUGUUUUUUAUGAAUGUCUAAGGGAAGUUAUCGGAGGUUGUAGAGCUAGUUUCAGAAAUACCAAAAGGCCUCUAUUCAUCUUUGUGAACUUAAAUUGUAUUUGUUUCAAAAUUGGUUUAAGCAAAUCAUACUGGUUGAGAUUUACGUUGUUUUGAGUUUCAACAUCCAAAUAAACAGGCUGUCACCAUG
Sardina pilchardus (European sardine) is the source of this 1587-nucleotide RNA transcript. It is a transcript of the gene named boLa class II histocompatibility antigen, DQB*0101 beta chain-like, with no coding region annotated. NCBI's taxonomy places the organism in Eukaryota, Metazoa, Chordata, Actinopteri, Clupeiformes, Clupeidae. The record is from RefSeq and is a predicted model, not a curated record. The transcript is spliced from 6 exons.